Molecule: ribosomal RNA, 373 nt
Filed under: uncultured bacterium
Lineage: Bacteria
Description: bacterial SSU rRNA
Rfam family: Bacterial small subunit ribosomal RNA
Source: RNAcentral
AUACGGAGGAUCCAAGCGUUAUCCGGAUUUAUUGGGUUUAAAGGGUGCGUAGGCGGCCUGUUAAGUCAGAGGUGAAAGACGGUAGCUCAACUAUCGCAGUGCCUUUGAUACUGACGGGCUUGAAUAAACUAGAGGUAGGCGGAAUGAGACAAGUAGCGGUGAAAUGCAUAGAUAUGUCUCAGAACACCGAUUGCGAAGGCAGCUUACUAUGGUUUUAUUGACGCUGAGGCACGAAAGCGUGGGGAUCAAACAGGAUUAGAUACCCUGGUAGUCCACGCCCUAAACGAUGAAUACUCGCUGUUAGCGAUAUACAGUUAGCGGCUAAGCGAAAGCGUUAAGUAUUCCACCUGGGGAGUACGCUCGCAAGAGUGAA